GCAUAAUUGAUAAUUGUCCUCUGAUUUGAAAAAUUGUACAUGUCUGCAUGUGUAAACUUGGAAAAUAUUUGUACAGGAGAAGAAGACUACCAGACUAAAUUUCAGUUUUUCAAUCUCAACAUUGUAUCACACUUCUUUUUCAGUACUUAAAUUCUUAAUGAUUAUUGCACUGUUGGCUGGACUUGCUUCCUAUCUUCAAAAGCAUUGAGAAGGAACCGGUUCUGAUCCUGUUCAAAAAUGGCUUAAUGAUCCUAGUGUUCAUUCUCUUUGCCUUGUGAAAGAGACUAUGCAAAUUUUGGUUUGCUUCAGUUGUUGCUGAAGUCACAGAAACGGCAAUUGCAAUCUUCAUUUUCUUUGCCUUCUCAAGGAAACUUUGCAUACUAUUACUUGCUUGAGCUGCUUCCACUGAUCAACAAUAGCAGUUCUUAUUUUCUUAUGAAGAAGUCUCUGUAAAUGCAUACUUUUUCCAGCUUCGUCCAGUGCCUUCGAUUGUUCUAUUAUGAUGCCUAGGCCUUUAAUGUCAAUCUCCAGAACAUGUUCUAUCUUAUGCCAAUCUUCUCCUUCCUCCCUCUUACACCUCUGCUCCAAAUUUGGACACUGCCAGAUUGAAAGAUAUUCAAGUGAGGUCAGGUGCUGCAUUGCAUUUGGCAAGGAUGUAAUAUUCGGACAGUUCCAUAUUGACAGCUCCCUAAGUGACUUGAAGUUUUCGAUCCACUCGGGCAGGGUCUGUAGACUAGGAAAGUCUAGUAUGUGAAGAUCCUUCAAUGUAGUUAUGUAUUGCAGUCCCACAGGCAGAGAGGUGAAAUUGGGGCAAUGUGACAUUCUCAAGGAUCGUAAAGCAUUGAGGUUUUGUGUACCUUCCUCCGGUAAAUGAACCAAAUCUGGGCAACCUUCAACGUUCAACUUCUCAAGAGCAGUGAGAUGUUGUACUCCUGCUAAAGAUGAUAAUGCCAUGCAGUUCAAGAUGGACAACUCUCGGAGGGAGAUAAGACCUUGUAUCUCUGGCAAGGAUGUUAAGAGAGGGCAACCCCAAAUGCCAAGAAAUUCAAGACAAGUGAGAUUGCUCAAUCCCCACGGUAAGGAGACCAAUUUGUCACACAACUCAAUAUGAAUAGAUUUUAAGUUAGCAAGGUUUUCUACCUCCCUUUGUAAAGAGCUAACUUCAGAAAAUUCACAUAUUCGGAGGGAAGUAAGGGAUGUUAGGCUUGGUAACGCCCAUAGUAGCAUCUCACUGCUAUCCCUCAACUCCAAUUCCUCAAGAGAUGGAAGCCAGUGGGGCAUGCUCCUCAACUUUGGACAUCCCUUCACCACCAACUUCUUGAUGUGGGCCAGUACUUCACCUUCAUCAAAGUUUAGCCAUUCUUCAAGGUUAGGCAUAUCACAAAUCUCGAAAUGUUUGAGAAAUGGAAACCCUUUGGUAACACCACUUCCAUAGAACUCUUUGCUAAUGCAUGUGACAGCAUCCAUACCUGUGAUAUAAAGAAACUUGAGAACAGGAAGCUGUCCAAGCGGCGGGAGCAAUUCACAAUUUUUGCAGUUCUUCAACUUUAUCUCCACUAGCUUUGUUAGAAUGGCAUCCAUCAUCCAGGUAGGGAACUUCACACCCAUAUAUCUUUUUAGGUGAAACCUUUUCAGAUUUUCAUGGGGCUUGAGGGCUUCUAGAACACUUUCAGGAACGUCAACCGAGUAUCUUCCAAUAUAGUCAUGCUCCCAUGAUAGUUUCAAUAGAGAAAGAUUGUGCUUCUGCUGCAAUUUUGCUUUCAUAGCUUCUCUUCUGUACGUGACAUUUUCAAGCUUUUUAAUAGCCAAUUCACCUUUGAGAUUCAGUAACUUCAACUCUUCCAAUCUAUAACCAUGCUCCUUGCCCACAAUAAACUGCGAUAGCGUUUGUAGGGAUGUUAAUUUUCCAAUUCUAGGAGGCAUCUUUAAUAGCGAAUGACAAUGAUCAAUAACGAUAUGCCUUAGGCUAAUCAAGUUUCUUGUCAUUUUGGGCAUUUCUUUGAGUUCAAAACAAUGGGACAGAUUCAAGGUCUGCAAAUUUACUAGGGAGCUCAGGGAUUCAGGCAAUGCUUCAAUAUUAGUGUGUGAAAAAUCUAGGAAUCUGAGAUGUAUCAACUUGCCUAUGGAGUUAGGCAAAUUUUUUAUUUCAGUGCUACUUAAAAUCAACACAUGCAGGCACCUGAAUGCAGAGAAAAGGGUUCGAGGAACCUGUACAGCCUCCUGCCUUUCAGUCAAUGCAAGAAAGGUAUGCAAAUUCUUUGCUUUGUACAAGCAUUUUGGGAUUUUCAGCAUUCUUGCGUCGCAGACCAGCGAUAUGUGACGAGUUCUUUUUGGGAUGAUCUGCCUUGAGCCUGCCUCAAGAAUCGAACACUCAACUCCAGCAACAAAUUGAGCAAGAUCAUGCAUAAGAUCAUGAAUCUUGCAAGAAACAAUGCUACCAUCUUCAUCUUCCUCUGCAACUUGAAAGAAAGAUCUCCACAGCAAAUAGUUAAAAUAGUUGUUGCCUACAUCUUCCAGCUGCUCAUCAGCAUCACUUGGUUCCACCAAGCCUUCUGCCAUCCAAAUUUGAAUAAGCCUCUCUUUAUUGAUGUCAUAAUCUUUCGGGAAUACUGCACAAUAAGCAAAGCACCUCUUCAAAUAAGAUGGCAAGUGAUUGUAACUAAUUCUCAAAGCAGGUAAAAUUCCAUCGCGCUCUUGAGGUAGUCUCCACAGUUCAUUGUCCUUGACAUAUAACCAUUCUCGUUCCUCCCUUCUAGAGCGCAUCAAGCUUCCUAGAGUUUUAAUUGCCAGAGGAAUCCCACCACAUUUCUUGACAAUUUCCUUUCCAAUAGCAACCAUUCUUGGAGUCUGCUCUGCUCCCCCAUUUCCAAAUGCUCGUUUUCUGAACAAAGUCCAACAAUCAUCAUCAGAUAGUCUUGCCAGAUAACAUGUUGGUAGUGAACCCAUUAUUGCUGCAACUCCUGUGCUGCGACUUGUAACAAUGAUUUUGCUUCCCUUUGCACCUCCUCUCAACAGAGUUCUCAAACGAUCCCAUUUUUCAUAGUCUUCACUCCAAACAUCAUCCAGAACAAGUAGGAAUUUCUCCCCAGCCAAUCGUUCUCUAAGACGAGUUUGUAGAAGAUCCAUGCCCAAGAGAUCACAUCUUUCUUUUGUAGCAGCUUCUAUAAUCGCUUUUGUCAGCCUUGGAACAUCAAAAUCUUCAGAGACACAAACCCACAUCCUCAAUUUGAAACUAUCUUUUACCUUGACAUCAUUGAAGGCCAAUUGAGCAAGAGUUGUUUUACCGAUUCCACCCAUACCUACAAUGGGAAUUACAGAAAGAUCUUCUCCAUUACCCCAGCCAAUCAACAUAUCUACAAUCUCUGCCUUGUCUUUUUCUCUUCCAAAAACUUCUGACUCAAUCACAAAAGAGUGUGUCUGUCGACACUCAUUAUCUUCCUUUUCCACAUCUCUGAUUCCCUCUCUAAAAUGAAAAUUCACUCUCUCCAAUGCAAUAGCUUUCAACCUCUUAUUGAUCUCCUUUAUCAUGGAUCCCAUUUUAACAUGAAGAGCAACAGAAUUGGGAACCUGAAGAAAGCUAGACACCCACCGAUUUGUGUGAUCCUGAGAUUUCACCUUUUGCUGCAAAGCCUUAGUUGCAAACUCAUCCAAUACAGCAUCAGCAUCAUAGACUGCAUCUUUAAGCUUCAUCAACCAGUUCCGCACUGCCUUAUCCUUAACUUGGCGCUCCUCUGCAUCAUCAAGCACUGCUGCAAUUGUACUUAGGGUACUCUCCAGCUCUUCUAGUUCCUUCUUAGCACCCAACCACAACUCAUACUCAUCAAGCUUUGGAGAAGUUUACUCAUCAACCAAA
Molecule: unclassified non-coding RNA, 3853 nt
Filed under: Hevea brasiliensis (rubber tree)
Lineage: Eukaryota; Viridiplantae; Streptophyta; Magnoliopsida; Malpighiales; Euphorbiaceae
Source: RNAcentral